RNAcentral lists this ribosomal RNA (106 nucleotides) under Yersinia frederiksenii. RNAcentral's name for it is "partial 16S ribosomal RNA". It matches the Rfam family "Bacterial small subunit ribosomal RNA", at positions 1 to 103 of the family's 1533-position model. The record is from RNAcentral. Lineage: Bacteria; Pseudomonadati; Pseudomonadota; Gammaproteobacteria; Enterobacterales; Yersiniaceae.
CUUAAAUUGAAGAGUUUGAUCAUGGCUCAGAUUGAACGCUGGCGGCAGGCCUAACACAUGCAAGUCGAGCGGCAGCGGAAAGUAGCUUGCUACUUUGCCGGCGAGC